CUCACAUCCGACGUGUGUGGUUGCUCAGUAGGGAAAUGCUUACAGCUGCCUCUAGAAGCAAGUCCGCUCGCUGCAUGGAGAGGGAAACAUGAGCAUGCAGCAGGACUAGCUGUCACCUCCCGCCCGCCUGCCCAGAGAGGGCCAGAGCGUCGGGGAGGCAAGAUGAUCCACCAGCGGUUCCAUCCUACACUUGGAUUCAGUAAGCUGUGAGGUCCGUAAUGUCAGACACUGGCAAACAUCAUAUGUUCUUCAAGUAGAGUUAUGAAAACGAAGAAACUGGUCAGAAGAGUAAAACGCCGGAAUUGUCCUUUCCAACAUCCAGAGCUGCAUCAUUCCUUGGGGCAAAAUGUGGACAAGGCUGGAGAAAAUGGCUGAGAUUGGAGAGGAGGGAGCAGAGGUAGAGAGGAAGUCAAAACCUUGGAAUGGAUGACAUACCACUUCCCCAAUGAAUGAAGCUGCAGAUUCAGCCACAUGUAGUUGAUGUCGCCAUGUCAAGACUGCAUUUUUCCUUCCAAACACAGAAGUAUGGGGUAAACUUAAUGCAGGACUAUGAAGAUGAAGCCAUUGAGGCCCAAGACUUUAUCUUGAUUUCUUCAAUUCCUUGGAUAUGUUUACUCCCUCCCCACACUGGGCCCUUGUAGCUGCUUAGACUGAACCUACUGGCCCUUCUCUUGCUGGAAAGUUGCCCUCCAAGAAGUGCAAGAGCUCAGAUUGCACCUGCUAACUGUUAAGACCAGACUUGGCC
RNAcentral lists this long non-coding RNA (745 nucleotides) under Homo sapiens (human). Its description in RNAcentral is "non-protein coding lnc-NEDD9-2:5". Lineage: Eukaryota; Metazoa; Chordata; Mammalia; Primates; Hominidae. The record is from RNAcentral.